AUAUAUAUAUAUAUAUAUAUAUAUAUAUAUAUAUAUAUAUAUAUAUACAUAUAUAUACAUAUAUAUAUAUAUAUAUAUAGUGAGGAAAUAAAUAUUUAACAACCAGGGCAAAAUGUAAAUUUUCCAUCAUUAUUGAAUUUAUUGAAGAAAUAAGGAGAUAUCAGGAAUAACCAGCAGACACAGGACAGUAUAUUCAGGGAGACACAUGGGAACCCAGGAGCAGUUACAUGCUGUUAUAUCAGGAAUAACCAGCAGACACAGGACAGUAUAUUCAGGGAGACACAUGGGAACACAGGAGCAGUUACAUGCUUUUAGUGGUUUUGGUCCGACUGUAGUCGGCCUUCCACAGUUGAUUACAGCUCCUUCAAUAUCAGUGUGUUGAAUUAGAAAGACAACCCUCCAUUCUGAUAAAACCACAAAUUAUACAGAGGGAAAAACCCCCGGACGUUUAACAAUUCUCCCGAUUCAUAAAACGUCUCAAUUCUGACACAACCAGCUAAAAAGAAAACAGUUAAUUGUAAUUUAUUAAAAGUGCCGUUAGCUAA
RNAcentral lists this long non-coding RNA (545 nucleotides) under Oncorhynchus mykiss (rainbow trout). RNAcentral describes it as "lncRNA (ENSOMYG00000055112.1)". The record is from RNAcentral. Lineage: Eukaryota; Metazoa; Chordata; Actinopteri; Salmoniformes; Salmonidae.